AGUGAACGCUGGCGGUAGGCCUAACACAUGCAAGUCGAACGGCAGCACAGUAAGAUCUUGCUCUUACGGGUGGCGAGUGGCGGACGGGUGAGGAAUACAUCGGAAUCUACUUUUUCGUGGGGGAUAACGUAGGGAAACUUACGAUAAUACCGCAUACGACCUACGGGUGAAAGCAGGGGAUCUUCGGACCUUGCGCGAUUGAAUGAGCCGAUGUCGGAUUAGCUAGUUGGCGGGGUAAAGGCCCACCAAGGCGACGAUCCGUAGCUGGUCUGAGAGGAUGAUCGGCCACACUGGAACUGGGACACGGUCCAGACUCCUACGGGAGGCAGCAGUGGGGAAUAUUGGACAAUGGGCGCAAGCCUGAUCCAGCCAUACCGCGUGGGUGAAGAAGGCCUUCGGGUUGUAAAGCCCUUUUGUUGGGAAAGAAAAGCAUCAGGUUAAUACCCCGCUGUUCUGACGGUACCCAAAGAAUAAGCACCGGCUAACUUCGUG
Molecule: ribosomal RNA, 492 nt
Filed under: uncultured bacterium
Lineage: Bacteria
Description: partial 16S ribosomal RNA
Rfam family: Bacterial small subunit ribosomal RNA
Source: RNAcentral